CGAAGCUCGCGAGGUCACGUGAUCCGCGCUAACGCCGGAAGUCUGCAUACUGGGUGCUGUGGACUCUGAUUACCCAAACAGAACAAAGUGAGGCCAACUUGCCAAGUCUUCAGUCGCUCCCAUGGACCUUCAACUGAGACACAGUAGUCUGGAGCCUGUGACGAUACACCACUGAUGACCCCUCGGGGAAAAACCAGAUGCAAUUAAUUCUAAGAGCUCGGUCAGCCGUUGCAUCUAACUGAACUCUGUAAAUCAAAAGCACUAUGACCAUGAGACAAAUAUCAAUAAGUAUCUUCCGCAGUUUUGAAAAUGCAUCAGUCCUAAACAAGAUGUUGAUUUUGAGUCAGAUUGUAUCAUCAGCCGCAGUGUUCUAAAACAUGUGCAUCUCCCUUCUUCCAGGUGUCUGUGACAGACAUGGGGCUGCGUACUUGUAGCAAGGCCUGCAAACACAGUACACACCUUAUAAAUAAUUGCUAUCAAGCUGUGGAGGGAAGAGAAACCAAAUGGAAAAGAAGUAACUUGCUUCCACAGAAUGUUAUGUUAGGACGAUUUAAAACACUAGUAUCCUGUCUCUUUCCACAGAGAAGCUACGUUUAGUAAGCUCAAUUUUCAUUCCUAAAUUAUAAGGAGGAAGGAGCCAUACCAGAAUGAUACAUGUUGCUGACAGACUUCUCUGGAAAUUUUUUGGAUCCUUUGCUACAAUUUGCCAUUCACCACUGUAGUGUUCAGAAGGACUUCGCCUCUGAUACGGACUCGUCCAACUUCUGAACCCCCUGACUGCUGACCUCGUCUUCCAGCAUGUCAGGAAGAACCACCUUUUGCUUUCUUUUCUAAGCUGAGAUGCUUGAUUGGAAGUUGUUUUCGUCUUUGGAAUCUAAGGAACUUAUUUCUUCCAAGAUGGGAAUGUCCUGACCUGCAGGGGACACCUGCUGGGACACCUGUUGGGACACCUGCUUCCCUGUCCUGCUGGAGCACCUCUUUGUCAGGCUUCUUGGACCAGCUGCUCAAGGAGAGGGCAGGGGAAGUGGGUCCGGAGGUGGUGGCCAAGUAGCUGGAUCCCUGUAUUAGGAAUUCUACAAGGAAAGGAAGAAAUGCUCUGUACUUCCUUCUGUAUUAA
Molecule: long non-coding RNA, 1117 nt
Organism: Chinchilla lanigera (long-tailed chinchilla)
Lineage: Eukaryota; Metazoa; Chordata; Mammalia; Rodentia; Chinchillidae
Exons: 3
Source: RefSeq, a predicted model, not a curated record